AUUGAACGCUGGCGGCAGGCCUAACACAUGCAAGUCGAGCGGAUGACGGGAGCUUGCUCCUUGAUUCAGCGGCGGACGGGUGAGUAAUGCCUAGGAAUCUGCCUGGUAGUGGGGGGCAACGUUUCGAAAGGAACGCUAAUACCGCAUACGUCCUACGGGAGAAAGCAGGGGACCUUCGGGCCUUGCGCUAUCAGAUGAGCCUAGGUCGGAUUAGCUAGUUGGUGGGGUAAUGGCUCACCAAGGCGACGAUCCGUAACUGGUCUGAGAGGAUGAUCAGUCACACUGGAACUGAGACACGGUCCAGACUCCUACGGGAGGCAGCAGUGGGGAAUAUUGGACAAUGGGCGAAAGCCUGAUCCAGCCAUGCCGCGUGUGUGAAGAAGGUCUUCGGAUUGUAAAGCACUUUAAGUUGGGAGGAAGGGCAGUAAGCUAAUACCUUGCUGUUUUGACGUUACCGACAGAAUAAGCACCGGCUAACUCUGUGCCAGCAGCCGCGGUAAUACAGAGGGUGCAAGCGUUAAUCGGAAUUACUGGGCGUAAAGCGCGCGUAGGUGGUUUGUUAAGUUGGAUGUGAAAGCCCCGGGCUCAACCUGGGAACUGCAUCCAAAACUGGCAAGCUAGAGUACGGUAGAGGGUGGUGGAAUUUCCUGUGUAGCGGUGAAAUGCGUAGAUAUAGGAAGGAACACCAGUGGCGAAGGCGACCACCUGGACUGAUACUGACACUGAGGUGCGAAAGCGUGGGAGCAAA
Molecule: ribosomal RNA, 748 nt
Filed under: uncultured bacterium
Lineage: Bacteria
Description: bacterial SSU rRNA
Rfam family: Bacterial small subunit ribosomal RNA
Source: RNAcentral